CCUACGGGUGGCAGCAGUAGGGAAUAUUGCGCAAUGGAGGAAACUCUGAAGCAGCAAUGCCGCGUGAAUGAUGAAGGUUUUCGGAUUGUAAACUCCUUUUGUUAGAGAAGAUUAUGACGAUAUCUAACGAAUAAGCACCGGCUAACUCCGGACCAGCAGCCGCGGUGAUACGGAGGGUGCAGGCGUUCCUCGGAAUCAUGGGGCGUAAGGAGUGCUUAGGAGGGGUAAUAAGUAAGAUGUGAAAACCUGUAGCUUAACUAAAGAACUGCAUUUGAAACUGUUACUCUGGAGUGUGGGAGAGGUAGGUGGAAUUCUUGGUGUAGGGGUAAAAUCCGUAGAGAUCAAGAGGAACACCUAGUGCGAAGGCGACCUGCUGGAACAUUACUGACGCUGAGGCACGAAAGUGUGGGGAGCAAACAGGAUUAGAUACCCCAGUAGUC
Molecule: ribosomal RNA, 440 nt
Filed under: uncultured bacterium
Lineage: Bacteria
Description: partial 16S ribosomal RNA
Rfam family: Bacterial small subunit ribosomal RNA
Source: RNAcentral